UUUUUAUUCCGGUGAGGCGCUGUUGAGCAACACAACGAUUGUUUGACAUUGACACCUCUUUUGCUUUGAAAGGCAACUUUGCACUGUAAUGUCCAUUUUGCACCUUGACAGAUUGUUCCAUGGUUUCACUGAACUUCGCCUCUUCUCUUGACAUUUCAGUUUCGUCUUCAGCAGCCUUUUCAUUAAAAUCAUGUUCAUACUGCUUUUCCAAUAGCAGCUCCAGACACUCAACAGACACUCUGUUCACAGUGGCAAAAUGGCACUUGUCAUGUUCACCUUUCCAUUCCCCUCUUGAGCCAUUGAUAACCCACCCCAGUGGGGUUUUAAUGGCAAAGGGUCCAUCACCUUGACUGUUUACAACUUCCCAUGGCUCCAGCAACGUCGAUGCGUUCGUACCAAUUAACAGCUCUACUUCUGCAUGGAUUUCAUGGAUGUUGACAUUGUUAAGGUAAGGCCAUUUUCUAAGUGUUUCGGUGGUGAUUAUGUUUGCUCUAUUAACUGGCAUAGUUUUUUGUGUGUAAACGCUUGGAAGACUGUGGUACCUUUUUCCAUUCAGGCCAGACACUUCAUGUUCGUUUACAAUGCAUGUUGACACCUUUGUCUUUGGGCUCAUGGUUAACAAACAUAUCUUUGUUUUCUUUCCAGUCAGGUUCAGCUUUCACAUUAAAGCUUCAGUGCAGAAUGUGGAUGUUGAUCCAUUGUCCAAAAAUGCAUAAGUCUGAAUGACUUUAUUGCCUUUUUUUGCUUUCACUUGAACUGGAAGGAUCUGGAGGAAUCCAUUGCUACCGGCCCCAGUAUGACCUCCAAUGGCUUGACUUAUGGUCUUAUGUGUCCAUUUACAUUUGUAUCAGUUUUUCAAUGAUUGUAACAUCAACCUGCCCAGGGACUACUGGUGGAAAUUAGCAUUUUUGCUAUAACCAGGUACAUUGCAUCUUUCCUUUUGGUCAAUGUAAAAUUGUACGCUGUCCCUGUAUAAAUAAAUGCAUACCAUACCAUACUUGACACAAACGUGUUGUUGACAACUGGUUCUGAUUCCCAAGAGUGCAUGCCAUUGGUGUUCACUGCCCUAUCAACCUUUUUCUUGAUUUUAAUAUGCAAUGCUGUGGGAUGGCUCUGUUUGCAAAUUUUGCAGAUUAAUCGCUGGUUGCAAUUUUUGCUCAAAUGUCCAGUACUGAGACACCCAAAGCAAGUUUCUUUUUCCUUCAGGAAGCUGAUUUUUUCCCUAUGUGUAAUCCUGGAAAAUUGCUGACAGUCAUUCAGAGCAUGCUCCUGUACACAGAACAAACAGUUCUUAUUGUUGUUUGGUGUGGGAUCUUUGGCUUCCUUGUAUUUGUUGGUUGCACAGACAUUUGUUGCAAAGUUUUCUCGUUUCCAUUUUGGUUUGAUUGAUGGCUUGAUUGUAUUCACAUCCUUUUUGAUAUGUCUUCCAUAUUUGGUUACUUGGAUAUCCCCAAAAAGAGGAUUAGACAACAGUCUAACCUGACGUUCCACAAAUUCCACAUCACUAAAGUUUGGUGUGCGGUUUUGAGUUUCUCUAAUGUCAAAUGCAACAUUUCUAAAGCGUUCCCUCAGUUUAAAUGGAAGUUUCGAUACAAUGAUUUUGAAAUUUGCACACGUCUAGUUCUCUCAUGUCAAACAAAUCUGACAUUGCAUUAUUGCAGCCACGAAGAAAUAAAGUGUAAUCUUGAAGCGCUGAAACAUUUUCAACCUUAACAGCAGGCCAGUUGAGGACUUUGUCCAUAUAAGCUGCAGUGAUUCUGGUUUCAUUACCAAAAUGCUCCUGUAGGAGGGCUUUAGCUGUUUCAAAGCCUCUGUCUGCACUCAUGUGUAAACAACUUUGCACAAGCUCUCUUGGACGCCCUUUGGUGUAUCUUUCCAAAUAGUACACGCCCUUUAGUUGCACAGUUAUCUGCAACACAGUGUUUAAAGGCUUGGAUGAACAUCUUACAUUUUAAAGGAUCUCCUUCAAAGACUGGUGUCUCUCUUGGUGGAAGGUGACUUGACCUCUGUUGUUGUAGUAGUAGUUCAGAUACUUGAUUUUGUUUCUGUAAAAUCUGAAGCAGGCUGUUAUCAGCUGUAUGUGCAACAGUUCCAUCCUCUUUUCCACUGCUUUCCACUUUUGACACAGACACAUGCAAUGUUUUAUUUUCUGCCAAAUCCGUGGACCUUGCAUCAGGAUGAACAUUUUUUUGCUUUAGUUCGUGCUUCUCAAAAUAGGACUCCAUUCCAUCCUGUUCUGCUGAAAAUGCUUGUAAUACAGACAGUUCUGCACCUGCAGCUUCAAUCUGAGCCUUGAGGUCUUCUUGCUCCAUCUUUCUGCGCAAUAAUUCAGCGUGUGUUUCCAGUUCAUGUUUCCUUUUUAGUGAAUCUGCACGUGCCAGCAGCGCAGCUCUUUUGGCUUCAGCUUGUGCCAUUGCUACUGAGGAUUUGUUGGACCUGUUUGAUCUUGCAGAUCCUGCGCUGCUUCUAGUUGAGCAUGUUGUUGAUGAUCCAACAUUUGAUAUACUGUCCAAUGGUGUUAUUUUAUCCUCAGUGCCUUUCACAGCUUCUUCACGUGCACACUCCAAAUAUUUUGUGACACUCCGUGAGACUUCAUCCACACCAAGAAGUUUUGCCUUGAACCAUAUUUCCAGUUUUUCUCUUUCUUCCACAGGUAGCAGCUUGAGCAGAGCAUCAUGUGCACCUUUUGCAUCAUUAAGCAGCACUUCAUAUUUGUUAAAGUUGCUUUCUACUUCAGCUUUAUACCCAGGCUCACACAAUAACUCCUGAAUUGUCCUUUUUAAUUCAGCAGCUUUAUUAAACUUAGAUUUUCUUGUUUUUUCUGAUUCUCCUAUUUUACAAAGCAGUGCUUUUGUAGUAAGUUUCACUUUUCUUUUUGUGACUGAUAGUGAAGCCUCACAACAGUCUGAGAUUCAGCAGUUACUUCUACUGCCUCAGUCAUCCUUUCACACAAAUAAGCAUCGUUACCUCGAUUAUCAGUUUGAACCUUCAAACCAUUUUUUGUUUCAGACAUUUUUUCACCACUUGUUCAACCACACACAAUUUUCCAUUUAAAAGUUGCUUUUCAUAAGUUCACACCAAUACAACAUAAAUUAUGUCCACAAAAACAAAGUGUCUUCCUUUGAAGUAGUGUCUUGGACUUAAAUAAAGUUGUUUGUUUUUUUACUUUGUUCUGACCCAAUGCAUUGGUAUUUUAAUAGAUAUUUGUGUGCACACUUUAUAUAAUGGCCAUAUGUAUGUGUGUGGUAGCUACCAUGUACCUCCUUUUAUUUGACCUCGAUCCAAAGGAAACUUUGCCUCGUCUGUUCGCUGCUGCUCGCUGCGCCGGAGUCUCCUAUCUCCGUCCGCCGCCCGCUGCAUCGCGUCCAGACGUCCACACCUUGCCAAUGGGUGGUCCACUGCCCGGCCCCGGUCUCCGGAUGCUUGUCGCUGCGCCCAAUGCAGCUGUGACUCCUCCUGUCGGGUCUCUCCUGCAUCCUGCCGUGACCGUGGUGAAGAUCAGCGCCGUCAGAACCACAGCCUCUUGAUUACUGGUGGAUCACAGUGUUGCCUUCGCCAUCUGAUCCACGACUUACGGUUUCCAUAUGAUCAAAUACAGAUUGUUUCUGACUAAUUGUUGACGCAAAUUUGGCUCUGUUAAGUACGCGUGGCUUUCUGGCCACUCUGACGUGCUCUUGUCCUCCUUAGUGGUCCAAAAAUAACACCAGUAGAGUCUAUUUAAAAAGUAAUAGUCCAAACUCACAAUUACGAACAAAUUCAUGAAUUUAUUUACCUUCUGGAGUUCAUCAAACUUAACAAAGAGCAAAGUGUUUCCAAUAAACAGUCCGUCAUGCCACGCCACGAUAAACCACGGUCAAAAACUAUUCACCUCAUGAUUUGCGCCACACCUGUGGCAAUUAGUGUGGCCUUUAAAUACACAGGUGGAUUGCUAAAUUCCUUGGUGUUUCAAGACGGACAGUUUACAGAAGGAUGCAAGAAUUUGACUUGUCUGUGAGAGGAACAUAGAGCACAAUGACUGACCAAGAGCUUGACAUCAUCAUUGUCAGAGCCCUCUUCUCACCCUCUUCCUAUCUGGCAUCCAAAUACCCUUUUCCCAUCUGUCUCUCACCUUUUUCUCUCCCUCUUCCUCUCUCCCCAGCAAUGCACUGAGUGGAGUGCAGACAAGCCUGCCUCCACUCAGGUAAUCAGCUGGAGCUUGUCCCACUAAUCACCUGCCUCUGCUACAAGAAGACCGGUUCACUCCUCCAUUCUCAGCCCGAUUGUUGUACCUGACAUACCUGUCAGUCACACUCUAGCCGCACAGUAGCCCUGCAUUCUGUGAAACGUUGUUUAACGCGUGUUCUCUUCUGCCUUCACCUAGAACCUGGCUGUCCAUUCUCCUGCCUGCAGUACUCUGUUUCUCCACUGGAUCCUCCUGUCUCCGAUCAGCCCGGUUCGUCCCUCAGCCCUGCCUGGAUCAUCUGCGUUGCCUUCCCUUCCCCUUGACGUCAUCCCUCCUGGACUCCGUCCACAAUCAAACUCUGCCGCUGCCAGGGAUCCACCUACCACCUGCCGCCACACUCAGCUCCCCUCACGGAACCAACGACGGCCGCCGAUCCCCGGCUCCCCUCCUCCGGAACCAGACCAACCCUCCACUGCCUGCUGAAUACACCCUGGACUCAUUCUCCCCGCUAAUAACGCAUCCAGCCAAUAUAUCUCCUUCUCACUCCAUCUCUGCCUCGGUAGCGUGGUUCCUCUGCUCGAGUCCAGCCAAAAUCCGUAACAAUCGUAUCAUCUAUUAAAAGACAGAUACCAAAUACUGGCUAUUGGUUGGUCCAAGGACAUUUGGUUUCAAUGGGUCUGCGUGUUCAGUGGUGGAGAAUGAUGGCUUCAGUGCAUCGAGUUGAUGCUGCUGUGAUCUCCUCACUAAACUAGGAUGUGUUGUUGGACAAAGUUACUCUGUGCAAGGCCCUCUGUUCCUGGUCCACACUGACACAAAUCAUAAACUCAUAAGGUCUUGUACUUGGAUGCUGCAACAAACAAAGCACAAACUGCAUUCUCAUUCUUCAUCACAUCGGUCCAGCUUCAUGGCUUACCGUCAAGGGUUAGGGCAGAUCAGGGAGUAGAAAACCUGGAUAUCGCACAUUUCAUGUUUGCCACACGAGGAACAGGAAGAUCGAGCUUCAUCUCUGGAAAGAGCUGAAGAAUGAUGAAGAUGAUGAAGAAAAGAGUCCAUAAUCAGAGAAUAGAGCGACUGUGGCGGGAUGUCUGGGUUGCAGUCACUAGCAUGUACCAUGACAUUCUUCACUCUCUGGAAGAGGAUGGUCUACUUGACAUAUCUGAUGCCACUCUUCUCUUUGGUGUGCACGACGGCUUUGUCCCCGACUCCGGGCAGAUCUUGAUACCUUUAUUGAAGGAUGGAAUAAUCAUUCUCUGUGGACAGAGGGAGGUCUCACCCCUGAACAGCUGUGGUUCAUGGGACGUCUACAAGAUCUGGACGAGGGGGAGAGACUCAAGGACCUUCAGGACCCAGGCGUUGACUGGCAGAGUGCUGUGCUGCAGGAAGACUCUCAUGGCACAGUUGUGGUUCCUGAAUUUGAGUGCCCACUGGAUGAUGAAGCCCUGGAAGAACUUCAGAGAACUAUCAACCCUCUGGAACAUUCAGAGUCACAUGGUCGUCACUUAUACUUAAGGUUCUUGCAACAGGUGUCCAACCAAUAGACAUUUGGACAGGAACUUGAAAGUCAACAAAUAUUCCAGCACAGUGACAAAAUGAUUGAAGUUUUUCUAACUAAUAAAAGCAAGAGAACCCUGUAUAAAAGGGAAUCUGUAUGACUGAAGAGGAAGUCAAACACUGAGCUAACAGGAACAAUUGUUUUGCUUUUUUCAUUAGCUAUGAACAUAUUCUAUCAGUUAAUGUUUAGAAAUAGCUUCUCAUUUUUUGUUUCAGAUUACCAGAGGGCUGUUUCUGUUAAACUCUGUGGAAGCCACCAUCUAACUGCUUCACUCAUAAGUCUUCUGAAUUCAGUGUAAGUGUUGAGAUGCUGCACUGGAAAAGUUACUGUACGAGUGCAUGCGCUCACAGUUUGGUAACAAAUGGAGUGAUCUCCAAGUCGCUCCCUGCAGUCGUGGUCAAACAUGAAUAUUAUUUUGAAAUGUCUCUUUUCAUCAGGGAGGAUGGGAAUGUGGGCUCUUCAUGCUGAACUCCAAGAGAGUGGCUCCUCAACUGCAGCACUGUGAGGUUUAAAAUAUAAGAAAUAAAACAUGUUACAAACAA
Molecule: long non-coding RNA, 6256 nt
Organism: Acanthochromis polyacanthus (spiny chromis)
Lineage: Eukaryota; Metazoa; Chordata; Actinopteri; Pomacentridae
Exons: 5
Source: RefSeq, a predicted model, not a curated record